Molecule: ribosomal RNA, 462 nt
Filed under: uncultured bacterium
Lineage: Bacteria
Description: partial 16S ribosomal RNA
Rfam family: Bacterial small subunit ribosomal RNA
Source: RNAcentral
GACGAACGCUGGCGGCGUGCUUAACACAUGCAAGUCGAGCGGAAAGGCCCUUCGGGGUACUCGAGCGGCGAACGGGUGAGUAACACGUGAGUAACCUGCCCCAGACCUUGGGUUAACCCUCGGAAACGGGGGCUAAUACCGGAUACGACACAGCUUCGCAUGGGGUCUGUGUGGAAAGUUUUUCGGUUUCGGAUGGGCUCGCGGCCUACCAGCUUGUUGGUGGGGUGAUGGCCGACCAAGGCGACGACGGGUAGCCGGCCUGAGAGGGCGACCGGCCACACUGGGACUGAGACACGGCCCAGACGCCUACGGUAGGCAGCGGUGGGGAAUAUUGCACAAUGGGCGGAAGCCUGAUGCAGCGACGCUGCGUUAGGGAUGACGGCCUUCGGGUUGUAAACCGCUGUCGGCUGGGACGAAGCGUAAGUGACGGUACCUGCAGAAGAAGCGCCGGCUAACUACGUG